GUGGGUGCCCCAUCCCACGCAACUCCCUGUCCUGUUGUGCCAGAGCG
This 47-nucleotide small nucleolar RNA is filed under the name Leishmania donovani. RNAcentral describes it as "H/ACA box snoRNA LD27Cs1H2". The record is from RNAcentral. Lineage: Eukaryota; Euglenozoa; Kinetoplastea; Trypanosomatida; Trypanosomatidae.